GCCUCCCGCUGCCGCGGCCGCCGCCUCCCGCCGCCUGGGCCGGCCCCGGUCGGUGCAGCGCCCCCUGCCGGCCGGCCGGCCGGGCGCUGCGACGGUGGAGCGCAGGGUGCGGGACGGAACCUGGCGGCCUCCCCGGAGGCGGCAGCGGGAGCCUUGGAGAGAGAAGUGGCUGCUUCUUGGCGGGGGCGCUCUCUCCCCUGAGAUUUCUCGUGACCUGAUGCGAAGCCUCUUCCCCCCCCCCCCCGCGCUACCUAUCAGCCGAAGAAUUGGCACUUCCCUGUCCUACUCCAACGACGACGGGCGUCCCCUGAGGCGACCCCGGCUUCCAGUGGCCGUCACCUUGCCCAUUCCUAAUUCCUGGAGCCCCUAAUCCCAAAGAGCCCCAGAUCCCUUUCCCCAGGGUGUUUCUUCCUGUCAUCCGUUUUAGGAGUUCCCCUUUUAAACUCUUCCUGAGUCUCCCUGACCCCUAACGCCUUAUCCCAGAACCUUUCUCACUCAAUGCGAGUGAUAGUCCCCUAGCCCCCACUUUCGGGACCGGCCCCUUCCCUCCAACUGCUUCCUUUGCAGGCCCCACCAUCGCCUCCUAUGUAGCUUUGCGCUCCUUGAGAUCCCGAAUCUUCGCCGAGCCGGUGACUCUCCCUCCCUGGGUCUCCCGCUCCCCCCGACUCUCUUCCUUUGAAUGGCAUAGGAGAGAGGAACCCAGACUAAGAAAGAGGAGAGAGCACGGUGUGAUGUACAGUUCCUGGAUUGGAUCCUGGGCUGGACCAACAUCGGCUCUGAAGUUCUUUUCUUGGGACAACUGAGGAGAUGUGAAUAUAGGGAGAAGGCAGCAGCAAAUGCCUAUGAAGGGUUCCUCAAGGUUGGACCACCACAACGGAUGAAUCCCAAGUUCCAAAACAAAGAUGGAACAAGGGAGAAAGGUGCAUGCAGACUCUGGAAAAAGCAAAAAUCAGACCACUGGAGAGAGCGCUGGCUGUUACCAAACAGGAGACAGGAGAGAUGAGCUGUCUCCCUCCACCCUGGUACCAGUGGGACCAUGGCCCAACUGCGCAGAGCGACAGCAAGCUGACCUGGAAUAACGCUCCAAGAGAAGAAACUAUUUGAUGGCCAUCUCUCUUCCACCCCACUCCCACCUGCAUACUGAAACAAUCACACCCACUAUUCCUCCUUUUCUCUUACUCUGUCAACAGUCACCCCAGAGGUCACGGAAUGCCCCAGGAGGCCUGAAAUGGAGUGGCAGUCCUUAAUGGGCACGGGUGAGACAGAGUCCUCACUGCCUGUAUUCAGAGACAAAGACUUAAUUUCUAUUCCACCUUGCCCAGUGAAGGUUAGAAGCCGGCUGUACAUCUCCAAGGAAAUGGGGGAUGGGAAUUUCUUCGAAAUUAAUACUCUAAAUCCAGAGUUUUGCGAUGAGACCUCGGAAGGAAGGGCCAGGAGCAAAGUUUUGCAGAGGGCUCAGGCAUCAAUGCUGGAAUAGAGGCGGCUCCUCAUCUCAGAUGGGGUUUGGAGGGCUGGGGCGACAUUCGUUCAGUCAAGGACGCCCUUGGCCCUUUCUAUAUUAAAGCCAAAGGUUGUGCUGAAAAGGGAAAAUAUAAAACAGAUCCCACCCUGGUCCCACCCUAUCCAGAACCCCCACCACAGGA
Molecule: long non-coding RNA, 1643 nt
Organism: Artibeus jamaicensis (Jamaican fruit-eating bat)
Lineage: Eukaryota; Metazoa; Chordata; Mammalia; Chiroptera; Phyllostomidae
Exons: 5
Source: RefSeq, a predicted model, not a curated record